CUACGGGUGGCAGCAGUGGGGAAUAUUGGACAAUGGGCGAAAGCCUGAUCCAGCCAUGCCGCGUGUGUGAAGAAGGCCUUCGGGUUGUAAAGCACUUUCAGUGGGGAAGAAAGCCUUGGGGCUAAUACCCUCGAGGAAGGACAUCACCCACAGAAGAAGCACCGGCUAACUCCGUGCCAGCAGCCGCGGUAAUACGGAGGGUGCGAGCGUUAAUCGGAAUUACUGGGCGUAAAGCGCGCGUAGGCGGUCUGAUAAGCCGGUUGUGAAAGCCCCGGGCUCAACCUGGGAACGGCAUCCGGAACUGUCAGGCUAGAGUGCAGGAGAGGAAGGUAGAAUUCCCGGUGUAGCGGUGAAAUGCGUAGAGAUCGGGAGGAAUACCAGUGGCGAAGGCGGCCUUCUGGACUGACACUGACGCUGAGGUGCGAAAGCGUGGGUAGCAAACAGGAUUAGAUACCCCGGUAGUC
RNAcentral lists this ribosomal RNA (464 nucleotides) under Vreelandella stevensii. RNAcentral's name for it is "partial 16S ribosomal RNA". It matches the Rfam family "Bacterial small subunit ribosomal RNA", at positions 339 to 795 of the family's 1533-position model. The record is from RNAcentral. Lineage: Bacteria; Pseudomonadati; Pseudomonadota; Gammaproteobacteria; Oceanospirillales; Halomonadaceae.